ACCUCCUGACAAACCGUUACCUCUGCCACCUGUCAGUCAGCCGUGCUGCUCCGCCGCUGACUCUAGGACAGUUAAGGAUGACAGCACACGAUGACAGAUCACCUAAAGGAAGACAACUUAUCACAAGCAGAUGUAGCCUACCUCCGUCUUUGCAAUUAUAUUUAAAAAAUAUAAAGAAAGCUGCAGUGUGAGCUUUAUAUAGUCCAAAAACCCAACAAAUAAGCACAAAUUGUGACUGAAAAUUGCCUUAAGUGUACCUUAAAAUCUGGGUAAUCCUUUGACUCCAUUGCUUUAUCUUUGUUUUUUAUUUUAUAGUUUUUUACCAUUUAUUUUAUGUAUUUAAUGCAUUCUUUAUUUAAAAUCCACUCGUGACAGGCCUGCAAAAGCUCUUUCAUCCAUGCCUCCAUAGUUCUGCUCUCUUUUCAACAUAUGAAGCUCUUUGUAACUUUUUUCACAAAGUGUUAUACAAAUAAAGUUUUCAUUCUGCGUCCUUGA
Molecule: non-coding RNA, 495 nt
Organism: Labrus bergylta (ballan wrasse)
Lineage: Eukaryota; Metazoa; Chordata; Actinopteri; Labriformes; Labridae
Source: RefSeq, a predicted model, not a curated record